GAUCAGAAACAUUUCCUCCAACAUGCUGUCACUGGACUCUGCUACAGUUUCUCUACUGAUGCUCACUCUCCUAACAGGCGUCAGCUGUCAACAACUCACCCCAGACAAGAAAGAAGAGUCCAGUUUAGAAGGCAGCACUGUUACUCUGUCCUACACUUACAAAGUGUCAACUAGUGAUUAUUUCUACUGGUAUCGACAAUAUCCAGGAAAAGCACCAGAGUUCCUGAUCUCACACGGUGCUUCAGGAUCAGUAGGAAUAGAAAAAAUUCCUGGACUGAAGAUUCAAGUGGAGGGAAACCAAAUCAAGAUGAGCAUCAUCUCUGCUGCAGUGACAGACUCUGCUGUGUACUACUGUGCUGUGAGGCCCACAGUGACA
Non-coding RNA from Archocentrus centrarchus (flier cichlid), 376 nucleotides. Lineage: Eukaryota; Metazoa; Chordata; Actinopteri; Cichliformes; Cichlidae. The record is from the annotation of a RefSeq genome assembly.